AUUGAACGCUGGCGGCAUGCCUUACACAUGCAAGUCGAACGGCAGCACGGGAGCUUGCUCCUGGUGGCGAGUGGCGAACGGGUGAGUAAUACAUCGGAACGUACCCUGAAGUGGGGGAUAACGUAGCGAAAGUUACGCUAAUACCGCAUAUUCUGUGAGCAGGAAAGCAGGGGAUCGCAAGACCUUGCGCUGAUUGAGCGGCCGAUAUCAGAUUAGCUAGUUGGUGGGUAAAGGCCUACCAAGGCGACGAUCCGUAGCGGGUCUGAGAGGAUGAUCCGCCACACUGGGACUGAGACACGGCCCAGACUCCUACGGGAGGCAGCAGUGGGGAAUUUUGGACAAUGGGCGAAAGCCUGAUCCAGCCAUGCCGCGUGAGUGAAGAAGGCCUCGGUUUAAGUACGUCUUUCUAGUACCGGAAGGAAAUACGACGCACGGAGUAA
RNAcentral lists this ribosomal RNA (440 nucleotides) under uncultured bacterium. RNAcentral's name for it is "bacterial SSU rRNA". It matches the Rfam family "Bacterial small subunit ribosomal RNA", at positions 30 to 468 of the family's 1533-position model. The record is from RNAcentral.